Molecule: ribosomal RNA, 207 nt
Filed under: uncultured bacterium
Lineage: Bacteria
Description: partial 16S ribosomal RNA
Rfam family: Bacterial small subunit ribosomal RNA
Source: RNAcentral
CACGUAGGCGGCCUGUCAAGCGUCUUGUGAAAGCCCUCGGCUCAACCGAGGAACUGCAGGGCGAACUGUCAGGCUUGAGGCAGGUAGGAGCGAGUGGAACUCUUGGUGGAGCGGUGGAAUGCGUAGAUAUCAAGAGGAACGCCGGUGGCGAAAGCGACUCGCCGGGCCUGUCCUGACGUUGAGGUGCGAAAGCCAGGGGAGCGAACG